Long non-coding RNA from Perca fluviatilis (European perch), 1058 nucleotides. RefSeq lists it as uncharacterized. The transcript has 3 exons. The record is from RefSeq and is a predicted model, not a curated record. NCBI's taxonomy places the organism in Eukaryota, Metazoa, Chordata, Actinopteri, Perciformes, Percidae.
AGGUCUCCAAAGACUGAUGUGUGGUGAGCGGCAGCAAGUACGUUCAGACUAAGAUGGCCCUUAUUAAAGAAGGAAGCACUGCGGACAAAAAAUAUCGGGGAAAAACACCACUAACCUUAAGCGACAUCUAAAGGCUAAUCCCCCACACAUUCAGAAAGAAAGCCAGGACUCUAUGCUUUCUCUCCUAAAGUGAUCAUGCCUGACCUCCCUGGUCCAUCCUGAGCCUUGCUACCACCUCAUCUCUUUCAUCCCUUCUCCCUCAGCUCACAAACCCGUAAUACUUUCCCCUCUGCAAUUAAUUCCUCGACUGACCCCCCUCCUCCUCCCUCCCACCUCUCAUCACUGUGGCCCUGUCUCCUCGGGCUUCAUAACUUGAUGAAUGAAAACUGUUUCCAACAAUUAUUUGUCCUACUCUUCGGUUGAAUUCUCUGCUCCAGCCCCCUCUCCUUUCCCUUCCACAAACCUCAACAACUAAUGGAGCUCUUCAUCAAGCCUUGUGAAAAGCUCCUCACCUUGACAAAUUACGACACUCUUGGGGGUAAGCACAUUAUCAAAACCCAACGUUUGUUUAAAUAGAAAAUACAGAGUGCAUCAUUUGCAGCAAGUGAAGGUUUCCCCAGGUUUGUAGAAUACUCAUUUAAUUAGAAUUUUGCCAACUCAUCUGUCUAUGCUGUUGUGAUAAAACAUGACAUGUUUUCCGUAGUGCUGCCAUUUCGAAUUCUGAAAAUGAGCAAUGUGAAAAUUAAUUUCAGGUGCAAUGUUGCUGCAAAGAUAAUUGUUCUUUUUUUUUUUAGACAUGGCUUGAAACUCUAAAUGAUAUUUAUUUGAAACCAAGUGGUUUUAAAAUUUGUUUUAGGGUAACAAAUGCAGAACUUUGCAGAUGCAGAUCUUUUAGCUUGUUGAGUACAUGUAGUCUUUCCUUGCCAGACUAAAAGUGCAUGGGGUUUGCUCUUUUUAAGUGUGUGUUAAGUGAGAUGUAAUGACGAUCUAUUUGGUUAAAACAGGAGAGCUAUAAAAGAUAUUGUAUGUCUGUACUGAUUCAAAUAUAUGAAACCAUG